AUUUUGCAUAAUUUUAUUUUGUUGUUUCUUUACCUAAAACACACAUAACUGUAACAUUUUAGACAGUUUUUAAAGUUUGUUCUUCAGUAUUCUCAAUUUCAUUUCCAUUUGGAGCAUUCUUUCACAGUGUACAAAUAAUAUUUGGGUCCACUAUAUGACGUGUGAGGUAGACAAAUCUGCGGCUAUUGUAGUUUACAUGCUGUUGUCUUGCCAACCAAAAGCAGUAUAACUGGGUGAACCGUAGGGUACGUAUGUCAUGAUCAUAUUUUCUGCUUAGUCUGUGGUGUGAGGAGGUCAGCAAACGCAGAUCUAGCUAAAGAAAGAUGACUGUAAUAAUCAAAGUUGAGUUUUGAGGAAAAUGAAAGCGUAACUUCCAGUUUGAGGAGCUCGCCCGAACCGUAUGGGCGAAGUUCCACGAUGCGAAGAUGUCGGGCUCCCCCGGGAGGAAAGGCAGUUUUGAGAUUGAGAUCAAUGGACAGCUAGUCUUCUCCAAACUC
This is a non-coding RNA of Paramormyrops kingsleyae, 497 nucleotides long. The record is from RefSeq and is a predicted model, not a curated record. NCBI's taxonomy places the organism in Eukaryota, Metazoa, Chordata, Actinopteri, Osteoglossiformes, Mormyridae.